Long non-coding RNA from Gossypium arboreum, 500 nucleotides. RefSeq lists it as uncharacterized. Lineage: Eukaryota; Viridiplantae; Streptophyta; Magnoliopsida; Malvales; Malvaceae. The transcript has 2 exons. The record is from RefSeq and is a predicted model, not a curated record.
ACCCUUAUUUUAUUUCUUUUCCUUAAAACAUUAAAAAACCUCUAGAGAACCCAAAGCUUUUUCCGUUAAAAAAAACCCUAAAAUUUUUAAAUGUUCUCUCAACCUCCAGCCGAAUGGCUAAUGUCCAGCAAGGCCCUCCAACGAAGCGGUACGUGGAGAUGUGAAGAGGGCGUUCAUGGGCGUGUCAACGUGAAGUAUGGGAGGUGGAAGCGUGGGCUGAAGCAAUGGCGUGCGUAGAGGCUGGCACGAAGGCAGCAGCAACGCAAGGGGGAAAGGGAAAGGGUUCUGAAAACUCCAAAAACCUGGGCCUACUGGGCUUGGUUCAUUUCAUUCAGUAUUAGGCCAUUGUAAAACUUUUUGGGCCUGUUUAAAAUGCAAUAGUUUUGUAUUUUGGGCCGGGUAAAAUAUGGGUUUUACACUUCUAACAGUUAAAGUGACAUUAAAAUUGCGAUGUUAAGGGAAACCAUUGCAACUAGUUUAAUGAAUCCAUAUUUAUAAAA